Molecule: microRNA precursor, 92 nt
Filed under: Canis lupus dingo (dingo)
Lineage: Eukaryota; Metazoa; Chordata; Mammalia; Carnivora; Canidae
Description: mir-8799 microRNA precursor family
Rfam family: mir-8799 microRNA precursor family
Source: Rfam by way of RNAcentral
CGGGAGAGGCCGGAUCCUGGGCUGUGUCCCCGGCGCCCUGUGCUCCGGAGCCUGCGCUGUUGGAUUCGCGCUCCCGGGCCGCGCAACCCCCU